Molecule: ribosomal RNA, 914 nt
Filed under: Thermoascus crustaceus
Lineage: Eukaryota; Fungi; Ascomycota; Eurotiomycetes; Eurotiales; Thermoascaceae
Description: LSU rRNA
Rfam family: Eukaryotic large subunit ribosomal RNA
Source: RNAcentral
GCAUAUCAAUAAGCGGAGGAAAAGAAACCAACAGGGAUUGCCCCAGUAACGGCGAAGUGAAGCGGCAAGAGCUCAAAUUUGAAAUCUGGCCCCGUCGGGGUCCGAGUUGUAAUUUGCAGAGGAUGCUUCGGGUGCGGCCCCCGUCUAAGUGCCCUGGAACGGGCCGUCAUAGAGGGUGAGAAUCCCGUCUGGGACGGGUGGCCGCGUCCGUGUGAAGCUCCUUCGACGAGUCGAGUUGUUUGGGAAUGCAGCUCUAAAUGGGUGGUAAAUUUCAUCUAAAGCUAAAUACUGGCCGGAGACCGAUAGCGCACAAGUAGAGUGAUCGAAAGAUGAAAAGCACUUUGAAAAGAGAGUUAAAUAGCACGUGAAAUUGUUGAAAGGGAAGCGCUUGCGACCAGACUCGCCCGCGGGGGCUCAGCCGGCACUCGUGCCGGUGCACUCCCCCGUGGGCGGGCCAGCGUCGGUUUGGGCGGUCGGUCAAAGGCCCCCGGAAUGUGUCGCCCUUCGGGGCGUCUUAUAGCCGGGGGUGCAAUGCGGCCAGCCCGGACCGAGGAACGCGCUUCGGCACGGACGCUGGCGUAAUGGUCGUAAGCGACCCGUCUUGAAACACGGACCAAGGAGUCUAACAUCUACGCGAGUGUUCGGGUGUUAAACCCGUCCGCGCAGUGAAAGCGAACGGAGGUGGGAACCCCCUCGCGGGGUGCACCAUCGACCGAUCCUGAUGUCUUCGGAUGGAUUUGAGUAAGAGCGUAGCUGUUGGGACCCGAAAGAUGGUGAACUAUGCCUGAAUAGGGCGAAGCCAGAGGAAACUCUGGUGGAGGCUCGCAGCGGUUUCUGACGUGCAAAUCGAUCGUCAAAUUUGGGUAAUAGGGGCGAAAGACUAAUCGAACCAUCUGGUAGCUGGUUCCUGCCGA